GCACUAUAAACUCAUCCUGCCCCUGCUACUUAGUGCAGGAGGAAAGGGAAAUAUGUGCUAAAAGAAAUCCAGAGGAAAUCCAGACAAAGCAUACUUGACCUUGUGUUCUGUCUCUACACCUCUGCCACAUUU
This is a small nucleolar RNA of Bufo gargarizans (Asiatic toad), 132 nucleotides long. RefSeq annotates it as small nucleolar RNA SNORA55. The transcript has a single exon. Lineage: Eukaryota; Metazoa; Chordata; Amphibia; Anura; Bufonidae. The record is from RefSeq and is a predicted model, not a curated record.